UAUUUUAAAGGGAUUCUAAUCUUUCAUAUAUAUUUUUUUUUUGGUAAAAUAAAACUAUAUAGGUUGAACUUUUUAUAGUGACUGGGCUCACCUCAAAUGACCACCUCGCCAGAAAUCCCCGUAGGGAUUUUUUAGCUAAUCCAGUACCAUUCCGCUGUCCCCGAGUAUCGAACUGACGACCUCGGGUAGUCGUGUGUGAGAAACGUUCAGUACUGCCGCUAGGCCACCUGACGUUCUCUAAUACUGUAUAGGUUGAACUUUUUAUAGUGAAUGGGCUCAUCCCGAAGAGCCAUCUCGCCAGAAAUUCCCGUAGGGAUUUUUUAGCUAACCCAGUACUAUCACGCUGUCUCCGAGUAUCGAACUGGCGACCCCGUAUAGUCGUGUGUGAGAAACGUUAGUACUGCCGCUAGGCCACCUGAUGUUCUCCUAAUCUUUCAUAUUGUUGUAAUAAAGAGGCUGAAGGUCCCACCUGCACUCAAUAAGCUCACUAAGACCCUUGACAAGAACGUACGUCUUCCAUCUCUUUCCAUUUCCUUGCUCUGUUUUGGUUACCUUGUAGCUAAUUUACGCAAUAUUUGUAUAACUGCAGCAACUUCUCUGUGCAAGAUUCUCCUCAAGUAUAGGCCUGAAGACUGGGCAGCCAAAGAAUGUACGUCUUCUCAAGAAGGCUCAGUCUGAAGCCGAGGGAAAGCCUCUUCAGUCCAAGAAGCCAAUUGUUUUGAAAACAAGGUAGUUGUGAUUGCUCAUGAUGUGGACCCAAUUGAGUUGGUUGUCUGGUUGCCAGCAUUGUGCAGGAAAAUGGAAGUUCCUUACUGCAUUAUCAAAGGAAAAUUAUGAUUGGGAUCGAUUGUUCACCAGAAAACAGCAGCUUGCUUGUGUUUGACCACAAUAAAGAACGAGGACAAGCUCGAAUUAAAUUCAGCAAAAUUCAAUAGGCUAUGCGUGUUUGGUUUCUGUAAAAUGAAUUCUUAGACGGUGUUUCUAUCGUUGGAUAUAUGUUAACUUCAACUCGUCACUGUAAACUUUUAUAUUCUCAAUCCUUCAAUCUUUGAAAUCUCUCUCUCAACUCUAUUUUAAGAAAGGUCUUCGUUUAUGUACUAUCUAUGUGCUACUGACCAAUAAAACAUUUUGCAC
Long non-coding RNA from Brassica napus (rape), 1134 nucleotides. RefSeq lists it as uncharacterized. NCBI's taxonomy places the organism in Eukaryota, Viridiplantae, Streptophyta, Magnoliopsida, Brassicales, Brassicaceae. The transcript is spliced from 3 exons. The record is from RefSeq and is a predicted model, not a curated record.